RNAcentral lists this long non-coding RNA (1008 nucleotides) under Oryctolagus cuniculus (rabbit). RNAcentral describes it as "lncRNA (ENSOCUG00000034096.1)". The record is from RNAcentral. Lineage: Eukaryota; Metazoa; Chordata; Mammalia; Lagomorpha; Leporidae.
AUGGAGGGAGGUGGAAGAAGGAGCCACGGGGCUGGAUGUGGGCCAGGUCAGUCUCCAAACUGCCUGGGGCUUCCGGGAGGCAGUACGCCUGCUCACCUCUGGCUGCAGCCAGAGACUCUGGGGAAUUUCUUCUCCCACCUCCCAAACCAGAAGCAAAUGCACAGCUGUUGGCUCAAACACGGAGUCCGGGGCAAUUUGUCACAGGAGCCACAGGAAAUCCCCCCACCCCGCCCCUGGGCAGCUCUGGGCCGCAGGAACCUGGCUGGCUCCUGGAAAAAUCUGACUCAUCAAAGCAGCGUUGCUCAACUGGACGGGCCUCGCCCACGGGAGAGCCGCUGCCCGCAGGGUAGGGUUUCAGGGGCCACAGAAAACAUCGCCCCACCCCCACCCCGCCAUCUGUGCCUUCUCAGCCGUGGCUGGAGUGCUAGCCGGGGACACCAGUGCCCAAGGAGUCUUCGUGGGGAGGCGCCAACCUGCACGGAAGCAGAGCUGGCGCCUGCAUGGGGAGGGGGUGGCCCCGGGGCAGAAAGGGUCUGGGAGGGUGGCGGCAGAGGGAGGCAUGCGUGCCUCACUCCUCAGAUGGGCACCAGCCUGUUCUGCACCCCCAGCUCCCCCGCGCCACCUCGUCCUCGGCAUCGGCACAGGUGCAUCCUUGAUGAGCAAACCCACCCCAGGGCCUUCCCACAUCUACGCCUGGAGGGGGAGAGGCCUCCCCGGGGGUCUCCCCAGAAACGGGUGCCCAGCCCGCUCCACAAGCUGCGUCUACCUCCCCUCUCCCCAAGGACUGGCCCAGCCCCCAGGGCCUCGCAGUGGGACUGCGUCUACAAAGGUCUCUGGAGAGGGGACUGGGGUCAGGCGGGGUCCUCAUCCGAUCUGACCAGCGUCCUCACAAGGAGAGAGGCAGGGCCAGUGUUGUACACCCAGGGGGACCACCUGGAAGAGGUGGCAAAGGGCAGUCAACAAGCUCCAUCCGGGGCUCCAGCUCCAAAACAGAGGAUAAACAGGUGA